GCGGUGCCGUCCGGCUUCAAGCGUAGUAAUCUACUCUCGCUCUGGAGCUCCGGGCGGUUGCCUGCCAGCAACCCCAAUUUUUACCACAGGUUGACCUCGGAUCAGGUAGGGAUACCCGCUGAACUUAAGCAUAUCAAUAAGCGGAGGAAAAGAAACCAACAGGGAUUGCCUCAGUAACGGCGAGUGAAGCGGCAUCAGCUCAAAUUUGAAAUCUGGCCUCACGGCCCGAGUUGUAAUUUGUAGAGAAUGCUUCGGGCGAGGUCCGGUCUAAGUUCCUUGGAACAGGACGUCAUAGAGGGUGAGAAUCCCGUAUGCGACCGGUCGCCUCCGCCCAUGUGAAGCUUCUUCGACGAGUCGAGUUGUUUGGGAAUGCAGCUCAAAAUGGGUGGUAUAUUUCAUCUAAAGCUAAAUACUGGCCAGAGACCGAUAGCGCACAAGUAGAGUGAUCGAAAGAUGAAAAGCACUUUGGAAAGAGAGUUAAACAGUACGUGAAAUUGUUGAAAGGGAAGCGCUUGCAACCAGACUUGCGCGCAGCCGAUCAUCCGGUGUUCUCACCGGUGCACUCGGUUGCGCUCAGGCCAGCAUCGGUUCCGGCGGUUGGAUAAAGGCCUUGGGAAUGUAGCUCCCCUCGGGGAGUGUUAUAGCCCUUGGUGCAAUGCAGCCUGCUGGGACCGAGGACCGCGCU
RNAcentral lists this ribosomal RNA (685 nucleotides) under Leotiomycetes sp. genotype 43. RNAcentral's name for it is "eukaryotic LSU rRNA". The stretch from base 92 to 685 matches the Rfam family "Eukaryotic large subunit ribosomal RNA", at positions 1 to 601 of the family's 3401-position model. The record is from RNAcentral. Lineage: Eukaryota; Fungi; Ascomycota; Leotiomycetes.